UAUACCUAUGAUGAUUUUUUAUCGCCCCAGUCUGAAAAAUAUGUGGAUUCGAUCCUCUGAACUACU
Molecule: small nucleolar RNA, 66 nt
Organism: Bicyclus anynana (squinting bush brown)
Lineage: Eukaryota; Metazoa; Arthropoda; Insecta; Lepidoptera; Nymphalidae
Source: RefSeq, a predicted model, not a curated record